AGGAAAGGAACGCUGGCGGCGUGCCUAAUACAUGCAAGUCGAGCGAACAGACAAGGAGCUUGCUCCUUUGACGUUAGCGGCGGACGGGUGAGUAACACGUGGGUAACCUACCUAUAAGACUGGGAUAACUUCGGGAAACCGGAGCUAAUACCGGAUAAUAUUUCGAACCGCAGGGUUCGAUAGUGAAAGAUGGUUUUGCUAUCACUUAUAGAUGGACCCGCGCCGUAUUAGCUAGUUGGUAAGGUAACGGCUUACCAAGGCGACAAUACGUAGCCGACCUGAGAGGGUGAUCGGCCACACUGGAACUGAGACACGGUCCAAACUCCUACGGGAGGCAGCAGUAGGGAAUCUUCCGCAAUGGGCGAAAGCCUGACGGAGCAACGCCGCGUGAGUGAUGAAGGUCUUCGGAUCGUAAAACUCUGUUAUUAGGGAAGAACAUACGUGUAAGUAACUAUGCACGUCUUGACGGUACCUAAUCAAAAAGCCACGGCUAACUACGUGCCAGCAGCCGCGGUAAUACGUAGGUGGCAAGCGUUAUCCGGAAUUAUUGGGCGUAAAGCGCGCGUAGGCGGUUUUUUAAGUCUGAUGUGAAACCCCACGGCUCAACCGUGGAGGGUCAUUGGAAACUGGAAAACUUGAGUGCAAAAAAGGAAAGUGGAAUUCCAUGUGUAGCGGUGAAAUGCGCAAAGAUAUGGAGGAACACCAGUGGCGAAGGCGACUUUCUGGUCUGUAACUGACGCUGAUGUGCGAAAGCGUGGGGAUCAAACAGGAUUAGAUACCCUGGUAGUCCACGCCGUAAACGAUGAGUGCUAAGUGUUAGGGGGUUUCCGCCCCUUAGUGCUGCAGCUAACGCAUUAAGCACUCCGCCUGGGGAGUACGACCGCAAGGUUGAAACUCAAAGGAAUUGACGGAGACCCCCCACAGCGGUGUAGCAUGUGGUUUAAUUCGAAGCAACGCGAAGAACCUUACCAAAUCUUGACAUCCUUUGACAACUCUAGAGAUAGAGCCUUCCCCUUCGGGGGACAAAGUGACAGGUGGUGCAUGGUUGUCGUCAGCUCGUGUCGUGAGAUGUUGGGUUAAGUCCCGCAACGAGCGCAACCCUUAAGCUUAGUUGCCAUCAUUAAGUUGGGCACUCUAAGUUGACUGCCGGUGACAAACCGGAGGAAGGUGGGGAUGACGUCAAAUCAUCAUGCCCCUUAUGAUUUGGGCUACACACGUGCUACAAUGGACAAUACAAAGGGCAGCGAAACCGCGAGGUCAAGCAAAUCCCAUAAAGUUGUUCUCAGUUCGGAUUGUAGUCUGCAACUCGACUACAUGAAGCUGGAAUCGCUAGUAAUCGUAGAUCAGCAUGCUACGGUGAAUACGUUCCCGGGUCUUGUACACACCGCCCGUCACACCACGAGAGUUUGUAACACCCGAAGCCGGUGGAGUAACCAUUUGGAGCUAGCCGUCGAAGGUGGGACAAAUGAUUGGGGGGGG
Molecule: ribosomal RNA, 1479 nt
Filed under: Staphylococcus sp. DST5
Lineage: Bacteria; Bacillati; Bacillota; Bacilli; Caryophanales; Staphylococcaceae
Description: bacterial SSU rRNA
Rfam family: Bacterial small subunit ribosomal RNA
Source: RNAcentral